Molecule: long non-coding RNA, 813 nt
Organism: Leopardus geoffroyi (Geoffroy's cat)
Lineage: Eukaryota; Metazoa; Chordata; Mammalia; Carnivora; Felidae
Exons: 3
Source: RefSeq, a predicted model, not a curated record
GGGGCAAAAGAGUAGGGAAAAGUGCGAAAAGAAGCAACAGCCGCUCCACCCGGGACCAGAAAAGUGGCCAGCCGCGUCCCGGCCGCCCGCCCUGCGCCGGGGAUGCGGCGGCUAACGGUCCAAGGAGGCGGCAGGGGCGGCAGGAGCCGCUAGGCGGAGAGAGACCAGGAGUGAAGAAAAGGGGAAGAGAGAAGCAACAUUUGAAGAAAGAGGAGCCGAGAUUUUCCAGGAUUGGACAACACAAACGCUCAGAUCCAGAGUGCACUAGUAGCAGAAAUCCUCACCAAGAAGCCUGUGACUUCCUGGAGACGGUGGAAGAAGCCCUGUGGUUCUAGAGAAACUCAAGACCAAAGCUACUGACUGACUUCCUCACGGAGGGGGCACAGCCUGGAAUAUUCCUCUGUACCCUCGAGUCAUGUUGGGAGAGAGAUCAGGUUCUUCUAACUUGCCCAUUAAUGUAUAUGAAUUACUUAGUUAAUGCCACAAUAUUCACUGAGUUGCUUCUGUUUGAAAAGAGCUGUAUCAGACCCUGGAAAUGUAAAAAUGCUGUCCAAUGUAGAAGGUAUAAUUGGAUGAGGACAUAAGUUACUACAAUGCAAAGUUAAAUCAGAGGCAGAUUUAGCAUGAAGUGAAUGAAACUCCUGUGUCAGUGCCCCUCACUUACAUGGGCCCCUUCUGAUGCUCUAGGAGAAACCCUAUGAACAUACUUUUGUGCUCAUACAUUUUGGUAAACUUUGCAAAAGUGAGAAUUAAGAAAAAAAAAAAACUUCAGUUAAACUUUUUCCUGUCUUACUUCCCCUACUGUUGAAAUGC